CAGUGGUGUGACUAAUCCUUUGACCUAUGGUAUGUUGGCUAUUCCCAGCGAGGCUAUGUAGUUUAACUACACGUUCUCUUAGUCCCUAGCCAUAUGGAUUCUUGCUGUGUAUGUUAACUAUGUAGGUUCAGAUUCACUGUUUGGAGUAAGAUACACCUAGAUGGAAUCUAUCGAUCUUGGUAGAAAAGGAGAAGUCCUAUG
This 201-nucleotide long non-coding RNA is filed under the name Elaeis guineensis (African oil palm). Its description in RNAcentral is "long non-coding RNA (EGUI_LNC014293)". The record is from RNAcentral. Lineage: Eukaryota; Viridiplantae; Streptophyta; Magnoliopsida; Arecales; Arecaceae.